Molecule: long non-coding RNA, 695 nt
Filed under: Homo sapiens (human)
Lineage: Eukaryota; Metazoa; Chordata; Mammalia; Primates; Hominidae
Description: non-protein coding lnc-ALB-1:7
Source: RNAcentral
AGUGACGCCAUCAGCCGUCGCCUGAGCCGUGGCGCGCGGGUGGCCGAAAGGCGAAAGUGAGAUUUCAAGGGCCGGGUCUGGGGCCCCGCGGGCGCGCAGUGCUGCGGCGUGUGGGGAGUACGGGGAGGCUGGAGAGGAGCCGGCCCCGGGCAGUGUGAGGUGCGGAAGCGCGGUCCAGACACUUUGCUGACGGGAGGCCGGUCCGCCAGAUCCGGGAGGUGGGGCCUCGUUCUGGACUGCUAUAAGAAACAGAGGCAAAUGCAGGUUAAGGAACCUCACAGUAAGGGAUAAAACUCAUAUUUUAACCUGAUCUGCCUGAUUCUGGAGCCUGCACCAUCAUUCCAUUGUCGUGCUUGCCACAUGUCUCUUUGAGGCUUGCUAAAAUUGAUAUCCAUGAGUUCUAUCAAUUCUGGGACAGAGAACAAAUUGUGUUCUGUAAGGAUGGAGGGACAGCGAGGAAUUUGCCAAGGUAAGUGGCACCUUGUGUAUGGCACCUGGCCUUCCGCAGGUGAUACACUUUCUCAUUUAUAGUCUCUGAAUGUCUGUACAUUGAGAUGUUAAUUAUGCAUCCAUGCGGCAAGUAGAAAAGCAUUUUUGGUAUAAUUUUAGUGAAAAAGCUAAAGCAUAACAUUUUGUCUAUUAUGAAAGCAAUAAUUUCAACUACGCAUGAAUAUGGGCACAAUAAUAAGGAAACA